This 858-nucleotide long non-coding RNA is filed under the name Rattus norvegicus (Norway rat). RNAcentral's name for it is "long non-coding RNA NONRATT019456". Lineage: Eukaryota; Metazoa; Chordata; Mammalia; Rodentia; Muridae. The record is from RNAcentral.
AUAAAACCUUCAGGUACCAAGCAAAAGUUCUAGCUCUUAGUGAGCUACCAGGGUCCUUCUCCUAAUCCAUCCUUCCCUGGAACCCAGAAGAGGCCACUGACAGGAACAGCAGUGGCAAAUCCAUAACUUCCCCUCAAGGGCUGAUACAGCACAACUCUUGCUAGGCCUCCCCUGCCUCCAGAAGAUGGAGGCCCAAGCCCUCAAACCACCUACAAGGAUCCUAGAGCCUGCAAAGCCUUAGGCCUUCCCUCGUGGGGAGAACUAGACCCAUAAAGCCAUCCUGAUGGACUCCUCCCCUCACUCCCAGUACAGCAGGCCAAGCAGCAGCAGCUUUGGGGCAAGACCAGAGGGAAGGACACUAGCAUGGAGGGAAAGUGUGAGGGAUGGGGACAAGGACUCAAAGCACAGGCUGAGGACAAGGGCUGAUGCUGACCAUUCCCCUUGCCAAGAUCCCCCAACUCAUCCAACUCACACACCACACACACAAAGUCAAAAUCCCCAGAUCCACAAGAUAGGCAUCUCUGGCCUGGGAAUCAGGGUUCUUGCUGUCACCACCACAGGCCUGAGCCAUGGAGCCUGGAUCAGUAGGAACCGUAGCGAUCCUGAGUGGGGAGAAUAAAAACACAAAGUCAGAAUCUCUAAUCUGCAGGAGCUCCCCCAGUAUACACAAUGCCUCCCCAGCGCAUCCACAGCAGAACUAGGGCUGGCUGCUGCAGAGGGCUGGGGACCCCAUGUUGGAAGUAUGUGAUGGAAGCUGGAGUGAAAGCCACCUAGAUACUAAUGAAAAGGAAAGUCCUGCCUGACAGAACCUGGGGGGUUAGGGGAGAGCAGUAGCUUAGCCAAGGUCCCCAGCUCCGG